Molecule: ribosomal RNA, 433 nt
Filed under: uncultured bacterium
Lineage: Bacteria
Description: partial 16S ribosomal RNA
Rfam family: Bacterial small subunit ribosomal RNA
Source: RNAcentral
AACGAACGCUGGCGGCAUGCCUAACACAUGCAAGUCGAACGAGACCUUCGGGUCUAGUGGCGCACGGGUGCGUAACGCGUGGGAACCUGCCCUUAGGUUCGGAAUAACUCCCCGAAAGGGGUGCUAAUACCGGAUAAUGUCUUCGGACCAAAGAUUUAUCGCCUUUGGAUGGGCCCGCGUUGGAUUAGCUAGUUGGUAGGGUAAAAGCCUACCAAGGCGACGAUCCAUAGCUGGUCUGAGAGGAUGAUCAGCCACACUGGGAAUGAGACACGGCCCAGACUCGUACGCGAGGGAGCAGUGGGUAAUAUUGGACGAGGGGCGAAAGCCUGAUCCCGCAAUGCCGCGUGAGUGAUGAAGGCCUUAGGGAUGUAAAGCUCUUUUACCCGGGAUGAUAAUGACAGUACCGGGAGAAUAAGCGCCGGCUAACUCCGUG